AUCCAUGUGUGUUGACCAAAUGACAUUGAAAGUCAAAGUCAAACAAUGAGAAACCAGAAAUGGGAUGAAGAUUGGAGGUCAAACAAUAAGCAAAAUAUUUUUGGCAUUUUUAAUAUUAAAAUAAACUUGAAUUAAAAAUAAAAGGAAGGUCAAACUUCAAAAUCACUUCAAAUCAACCUUGAAAGGUCCAAGUGAUUUAUCCCAAGUUUAACAAGGUCAAACAAAGUUUGACAAAAAAUUUCAGCAUUUUU
RNAcentral lists this long non-coding RNA (251 nucleotides) under Lathyrus oleraceus (garden pea). Its description in RNAcentral is "Pisum sativum (pea) long non-coding RNA (PSAT_LNC007882)". Lineage: Eukaryota; Viridiplantae; Streptophyta; Magnoliopsida; Fabales; Fabaceae. The record is from RNAcentral.